Molecule: long non-coding RNA, 1000 nt
Filed under: Equus asinus (donkey)
Lineage: Eukaryota; Metazoa; Chordata; Mammalia; Perissodactyla; Equidae
Description: lncRNA (ENSEASG00005023683.1)
Source: RNAcentral
CUUCAGCGGGCCCAGGAAAUGGUCAGUUGAGCACGUCUGCCCGACCUGGGGUGGUGAAGCCAGGCUGUCAGCAAAAGGGAGCAGCUGGUGAAGAACUUCCUAUCUUAUUAAUUUUUCCCUCCUCAGUCUCCCUCCCGGCUAGGAGGGUGUGUGCCAGUUUGCAGGUGGGGAGGAGACGCAUGGACUGACUGUCCCCUCUUUGGAGGGCAGACAGCCCACUGGUGAGCAGACUUCAGUGGGGAACACUGGAGAGCUCUUACCUGAACCGGCAUUAAUAUCUGGCUUGAUGCUUUUCAUAUCUGCACUGACAAUGUAUCUUGUGACUUAAACUGACUGUAGGGUUGUGUGUGAUCUUAGAACAAGCAGAAAGGUCAUGGGCACUGCAGUGGUUUGCCAAGCCUGAUUUCGGGACCAGCAGCAUCAGUACGACCUGGGAACAUACGGGAAAUUCAUGUUCUCAGGCUCCACCCCAGACCCCACAUCAGAAACUGUGGAGUGGGGCCACCAGGUCCUGCAGGUGAUGCUGACGAGCACUGAGGUUGGAGAAACUCUGAGCGGGAGGAGGAGGUCAGCUCUGGCCUUAUGAUUAGAAUGGGACAUAGGAAAAGGGUAGGGAAAUGCACUGUAUGCUUCAUGAUAUAACCAUUCAGGGUUAUACGAGGAAAUGAAAAAGAUUUCUCAUGAUGAACCUGGGCUGUCAAACCCUCUGUCUUGCCAGGACAUCGGCCUGAACUGCCCGGGUGGGAACAUCCAGGCUGAGGCAGUCGGAUAACUGUAUGAGCCUGACAGGCUGUGGAGCCACGCUGAAACUGCAGCCACAGUCAGAAUCCUCCCCGGACCCACCCCGCCUGUCCAUGGGCCUCAGAUCCUCCCUGGACCCGCCCUGCCUGUCCAUGGGCCCUCGGAGUCCUCCCCAGACUGCUCCGAAUGUCCAUCACUCAGACUGUCACACGAGGCCUGGCAGGGUGGCCCAGCAUAUCCUCGUUUGGCACAUUCUGUA